GACGAACGCUGGCGGUGUGCUUAACACAUGCAAGUCGAACGGAAAGGCCCUGCUUUUGUGGGGUGCUCGAGUGGCGAACGGGUGAGUAACACGUGAGUAACCUGCCCUUGACUUUGGGAUAACUUCAGGAAACUGGGGCUAAUACCGGAUAGGAGCUCCUGCUGCAUGGUGGGGGUUGGAAAGUUUCGGCGGUUGGGGAUGGACUCGCGGCUUAUCAGCUUGUUGGUGGGGUAGUGGCUUACCAAGGCUUUGACGGGUAGCCGGCCUGAGAGGGUGACCGGCCACCUUGGGCCUGAGAUACGGCCCAGACUCCUACGGGAGGCAGCAGUGGGGAAUAUUGCACAAUGGGCGGAAGCCUGAUGCAGCAACGCCGCGUGCGGGAUGACGGCCUUCGGGUUGUAAACCGCUUUCGCCUGUGACGAAGCGUGAGUGACGGUAAUGGGUAAAGAAGCACCGGCUAACUACGUG
RNAcentral lists this ribosomal RNA (468 nucleotides) under uncultured bacterium. RNAcentral's name for it is "partial 16S ribosomal RNA". It matches the Rfam family "Bacterial small subunit ribosomal RNA", at positions 28 to 507 of the family's 1533-position model. The record is from RNAcentral.